UCGAGAAUUUUUCUCAAUGGGCGAAAGCCUGAAGGAGCGACGCCGCGUGGGGGAUGAAGGGCUUCGGUCCGUAAACCCCUGUCAUUUGCGAACAAACCUUAUCAAUGAACAAUUGAUGAGCUGAUUGUAGCGAAAGAGGAAGGGACGGCUAACUCUGUGCCAGCAGCCGCGGUAAUACAGAGGUCCCAAGCGUUGUUCGGAUUCACUGGGCGUAAAGGGUGCGCAGGUGGGCUGGUAAGUUCGAUGUGAAAGCCCCGGGCCUAACCCGGGAAUGGCAUUGGAUACUACUGGUCUGGAGGGUCGGAGGGGGGACUGGAAUUCUUGGUGUAGCAGUGAAAUGCGUAGAUAUCAAGAGGAACACCAGUGGCGAAGGCGAGUCCCUGGACGAUACCUGACACUGAGGCACGAAAGCCAAGGGAGCAAACAGG
Molecule: ribosomal RNA, 428 nt
Filed under: uncultured bacterium
Lineage: Bacteria
Description: bacterial SSU rRNA
Rfam family: Bacterial small subunit ribosomal RNA
Source: RNAcentral